ACUCUACUUACUUUGUCUUCCUUUGAGAGCAGCACAUGAAAGCAUCAGAGGAAAACCUAAGCUCGAUUAAACUAUAAAACGGUCUCUCUACUCUGUGAUACUUGAGCUUAAAGUUCAUCGUUGAUCCGAACACAACAGACCCAAACCCCGCAUCAGAUCUGUAAAUACAAGACGUGAUGGUGACUGUUCAAAGCGUGCCGUACAAUAAAGCGGAAGCCGGGGAUCAAGGUUUUGCCGACGGCAACAAGACGCAUGAGAGGAUGAUUCGACGUCGUGGCGGAGAUUGGCUACCCCUCCUCUCCUCCUGCACACUGUACACGAAGCUGUUGUGUAAAGAUUUAAUGGAGGAUGAGACAAAACAGAAGACUGUGGCGAAGUACAUUGGGCAGCCUUUCUCAGCUCUAUUCUCGUUGUAAGUGCCUCCUCCCUCUCUCUCUCUCUC
Long non-coding RNA from Musa acuminata AAA Group (dessert banana), 442 nucleotides. RefSeq lists it as uncharacterized. Lineage: Eukaryota; Viridiplantae; Streptophyta; Magnoliopsida; Zingiberales; Musaceae. The record is from RefSeq and is a predicted model, not a curated record. The transcript has 3 exons.